This is a long non-coding RNA of Cavia porcellus (domestic guinea pig), 5886 nucleotides long. Lineage: Eukaryota; Metazoa; Chordata; Mammalia; Rodentia; Caviidae. The record is from Ensembl.
GGACUCAUGGGGAAACACAAGGCCCAUGGCCGGCUGGAAACAGCUUCGAAGCUGGAGCAGCCACAGAUCCAUGCGGGCCCAGUGCCAGCGCCCACAGUGCCAGCACAGAGCCCUGACCCAGCCAGAGCCAGGUCAGGCCCAGCCCUGGGCAAAUAUGUGACCGGGUCCUCCCAGGGUCCUGAGAAGGGACAGGCCAGUGCAGAGGGCAGGUCAGCUUCUGCAGAGCAGGCCACACCUGACCCAGGCCCCGACCCAGAACCUGCCCAGCCGCGCCUGGCUAGGAUCUGCCCUCCGGACGGCUCCGCCCAUCAGGUACGGGCACUAGGGGAGGGGCACGGUCCAGGUCCGUGGUGUGUGCACUGGGUGUGGCAUCAGAGCUCCAAAGGCUCCACCAAGCCAGGCUGGGAGGGCUCCCUGCCAUCGCCAGCCAUCUGGCCAGCUGGCCACCACACAGGCCUCCCUCCUGUGCUGGGCGACAGGUGCGAGCCCCACCCAGCAGUUCAGGGCAAGGGCACGGCUUCCCGGUACUCUCUGGAGCACUAUCGAGGGACCGCGAUGAGGCCCUGCUGCUCUCCUGGAGCAAGAGGCCACAACCGGAGAAGAGGGCGACGCGAUGUCGGUCUGCUUUCCCCAGGGGAGCGCGGCGGGGACCGAGAGUGCUAACCCUGGAGCCGGUGAGACCGCGGGCCGCCUCUCGAUCGCGGUGCUGGAGCAGAAGCCGCAAGAGGAGACGCUGCUCCAGCAGCACUGGGCCGCGCUGCUGCGCCUGCGCAAGACGGCGCGGGAGGAAAAGGCCCGAGCGGAGCGCGCGCUGCAGGAGCACCAGCUAGGGUGUCUGGAGCACAGAGGCCACGGAACCACAGGGGCUGCCUUGGGGGAGAGGGCACCGCAGGCCCUCAGCAGGCUGGAGGAGGAGCGGGUGCAGAGGGAAAUGCCGGGCCUGCAGGACAUGCAUUGGCCAGUGCUCCAGGGCGGACAGCAGCUGCCGCAGCAGCAGGAGGCCACUCUCACCGCGCAGAGGACACCAACACCACGGCUGCAGAGUCCUGGCCCCCAAGUCAAGGCUGCAGGGGAAGGGGCCUCAGAGGCAGGCCAGCAGCUGGAAGGAGCCCUGUGCCCCCCAAAACCACACAGGUCUUGCAGCCCUGUCAGCCCACGAGUGCAGAGAGGCUCCAAGAGUGCAGAGGUCACACACCUUGCCUGUGACCAGUGGGAGGAGACAACCAAGACAACUGAAGAUGCCACCAGCCACCAGCAGCCUCCGAGGCCAGCUUCAGGAGAGGACAUAGCAGGGCCCAGCAGCCCACUGGAGGAGGAAGGCAGUCAUAUAGACCAAGAGCCUUGCAAGCCUUGGCCGGGAUAUCUGCACUCAGACUCGCUGAACUCUGGACAGCUGUUGGACUCUGCCUGUCCGGUAUGCAAGUCCUCCAGAAACCCCUUCCGAGCUCCCUGCCUGGGUGGGGUCCCCAUUCUGCCUGCCGCUGCUAGGUCUCAGCUGGGACCUGGACACCCGUGGUUCUUCUCCUGUGUCGCUGCUGGUCAUUGCAGACUUGGUACCCACUCCCUCGUGGCAGCCUCUGCAACCCUGGGCAUCUCUCCCCUGUCUUGUCCAUACAGGCCCUCGAGGCAGAGCAGGACACCCCUGCAGCUCAGCUUGGGGUGCAGGAGGUGCUGGAGCUGCUCACAGGGGACACCCAGACCCAGGCCAGAGACUGCUGGGCCAGGAAGAGGCCCCCAGCUCCGCAGGAUGGUUGUGCCCACGGCUUCCAGGGGCACGGCCUGCAAUGCCUGGGGGCAGACCGUCCAUGCUGUCUGCAGGAAGCAAGUGACGGAGGCAUUUCAGAGGGACAGCAGCAACCCAGUGGCCGUUUCCCCAGCUCCUGUGACCCUGGAGGAGAAGGCAGUACCCCCCAUCCAGCCCAGGCCUGCUACGUCCGUGCACCUGGGCUCUGAGCUUGCACUCUCCUGGGGGUCUUCAGGGUCCCCAGCAUCGUCCCCUCUGUCCUCACCAGGCUCUGGGAAUGGCCUGUCACACUCUUCCCUCCAGGAGUUUCAGAAAGCCAUAGCCACCCUGGCCCAGCUUUCCAACAGCUCCGAAUCCCUAUCUGACCUGGAGGCUGAGGGUAGCCUGGACACAGACCCCAGCUGGUCUGAGGAGCUGUGUGCUCACAAGGACUUUGGCCCACCCUCAUCUUUGGAGCUCCACCAGGGUGACCCUCAACCAGGUGCUGUGCCUGCAGGUGCCGGGCCGGUGACCUGGCAGAGGCCAGAGCGUGACCAGGCUGCUCGCCUGCCUGGCCCUCCUGGGAAGGUGACUGUGGCAGAAGCCUCGGACCCAGAGUGGAGUUGCCCACAGGCAGGCCGGCCACCGCCUCCCCAAGACAUCCAUUCUCCCAGUCCUGGGUCAGAGCUGUCAGAGACCUCCAGCCAAAUCUGGAUCGAGGACAAUGAGGAGAACCUCCGAGAUCCUGGCACAGGGGCCCAGCCCAGCUCAGGGAGCUCCUCGACACUUGGCUCUUCCAGCUGGGAGCACAGUGUGGUUCUGCCCACCUUGGUCCAGGGGGAGGGACAGGAACCUUCCAGAGCCAGCUGGAGCCUGAACGGUGGGUCAAACACAGAGAGCCCCCAGCAGGUGUCCUCCAAGGCACCAUCUACCAGUGACCUAGACCUGUAGGUCUAGGGAUCGACAGGUCCUUUUCUUCAGGGACCUCUGCAUCUGAAGGGGCUCAUUGCCAGGAGAAGCCCUGGGAUGCUGGCCUGAGCCUGUCUUCUGGAAGGAGACCCCCACAGGCCUCUGCAGGGCCUGAGGUCCUCUGUGGGCUUGCACUCUCUGUAGCUGAGGGCCAGGCAUCUGGGUGUGCAGGGAACGAAGCGCCCCAAGUCUCAGAGCAAGCUGCACCCUCUCACGGUGCUGGCUUCCCGACUGGGAGCCUGUCCCCUGUGGACGAGGAGUGGCUUUACAGCAGUGGGGCCCUCCUGCAUGGCCUCUCCUGGGACACCCACCUCCCUCCACCACUGCCCACUGCCCACACAGACCGUAAGGAGCAAGAGGCCCAGCCCUGCUCCGAAGACUUCCCGUCCCCGCCCAAGAGGCCUUGGUUCCCCAAGGCUCCCUGAGCCCCCUGGAGGAGGAUGCCUUUGUUACCACUGAGGACUUGCCCUCCUUGUCUGAGGAGGUCCCACGACAGGCACUGUCAUUGAGUCUCCAGGACUUGGGGCUCUGCCUGAGGACACGCCGACCAUGGAGAGACCCUGAGGGUGAACUGGGCAGGUCAGGGUCCAUGGUGGAAAGUCAGGCUGUGGAUUGUCAAUGGUCUGAACACGUCACCUGGCCAGAGUCUCCCUUGGGUAAAGGGGCAGGCAGUGUCCCCAGGAAGCUCCCGAGGGCACCAGCACAGCCUCUGUUCCUUUCCCAAGUGGCCCAAGUUGCAGAAGAGUGUCUGUCUGGGUUGUGGGGGGCUGAUGACCCAGAGGCCUUGGGCAGGCGCAUCAGGCCCCAGGAAGGGCUGCUGUGCUCUGAGAGUGCAGGGUGCCAGGGAGGCUGGGAUACCCUUGCAGCCUGUCUGUCAGACCUGAUGCCUUUGGUGGUCCACGGUCAGGCAGGGUUUCCCGGGCACACUAUCGAGGAAUGUAUGGAAGGCCUGAGCUGCUGGGCAGAGGACUCACUGUGCAGAGAGCCACUCCCAAAGGAACACUUGGCCACUGGCCACCAGCCACUAGGCUCCUGCUCUAAUCUCCUGGGCACAGAGAGGGACAAUGCGGUGGCCCUGGUGUUCACUCAGCUUACCAGGAGGAUCCUGCUGGACUCCAUGGCUGUGCUGGCCCCUGGAGACAGCCUCUAGACAGUGUGAUGUCAGUGUGUGUGUGAGUGUGGGUGUGUGUGUGCACAUGCACAUGCACAUGCAAGAGCCUCUGGAAGCCAGCCCUUCCAUCCUGGGGUCGACAGGUCAGGCUGCAUGGCCAUUGCGGCCAGCUGUACAGGAAGUCACCUGAUGGCACCCGCUGUCUGCAGUUCUCUGCACGGAGGCUGUGUAGCUUCCAGAUUCUUGAGGCCCCUGACCCAAGUCAGGAACCAUCGGGGUGGAGGAUGCACAGGCAGCAGGGGGCCACCUCUCAGGGCGGGGUGAGGGGAAGAGGGAGCUGACAUUGCAGAGUCAGGGCGAGAAGAGCCAAGGAGCUGUAUGGACAGAGGACUGGAAGAGGUGGCAGCUUGGGGGCCAAAGGUCAUUUCAGCCCUGAUCAGCAAAGCCUGGGGCUUGUCCAGUUAGAUGGGGUCACCUCCAGUGCUGUGGACCCCCAAUGAGCUUGCUGGGUCUCCUGGGCCUUCCCUCUUCUUGGGAUCCCCUGAGGCUACCCUGCCUGCUUCAUGUCCCAGUGGGCUCCACAUCAGAUGACCCUGAGUGGUUCUUUGAGGAGGUGGCCCAGGACACUGUCAUGUGUCCUCUUUUCACAGAGGAGCCCGUCUUUCUCAGGACAGAUGUCCAGCAGGAAGCCUGUGCUGUGGAUUCCAGCACACAGGGCCUCCUGCAUAGAGAGAAGCCAUGGGGACACCCAGGAGCCGUGAUCCUGAAGGUCCCCCCCCCCAAGCCUCAGAUGGCCUCCGCUGUUGUCCAGGGCAGACAGGAUGGGCCAGUCACAUUGCUGGGCUUCCUGGGAUGGGCAGAUCAUGCAGAAUGGCCACCUGUGCUGCCAUGCAGGAAAUCACCUACGUGCCCUGUCCCCCAGGAAGUCCACCCAUAUUCUGAAGCCCAACACUGGGAGAAGCACCACAGCCACCAUCCCAGCCAAAGCCCCCAGCACCAGUGCCCCAGGCUGGACCCCGUGGGGCCUCCUCUUCCACCCCACCCCAAGGCUGGGUGAUGGGGGAGCGGGUGGCGUGGAGUGUGCACCUCUGCUGUUUUGGUCCUGAAUCUGCGCCUGCCAUGGCCUCAGAAAAGUGGCUUUGCACAAGCCCAGUGGCCAGCGCUCUUUAAGCGGAAGCAGCUUUCAGAUCCAUUUUCUGACUCCUAAGCCAGGGCUUUCUGGAGGAUGUGAUGGGCAAUCUCUGAGGUUAUGCUCCAACCCCGAGCAGUGGGCAUGUGUGUGUGUGCACAUGUGUGUGUGUGCAUGUGAGUUGUCUGUGACUUACCUCCUAGUGACCCCUUAUCAUUUGUCUUCUGUCUAUUCAUCCAUGAAUCUGUCUGCCCACCUGCUGUCUGUCCAUCCAUCUGUACCAGCUUGCAUCUCAAUCAUGAUAAAUGACACUGAAAUGGCACAAGCCUAUGAUCCCAGCUGCUGCAGAGCUGAGGCAGGAAGUUGCAAGUUCAAGGCCGGCCUGGGCAAUUAGUGAGACCUUAUCUCAAAAGAUAAAUACUCAAAAGAGCUGAGGGUGUGGCUCAGUGGUAGAGCGUUUGUCUAGUUUGUGUGAGUCCCUGGGCCCCAAUCCCCAGAAUUUCAAAAAGAACCAGAAAGCUAAGUGUGGUGACACAUGCCCAUAAUCCCAGCACUCAGGAGGCUGAAGUGGGAGGAUCACUGGAAUUCAAGACCAGCUUGGGAUACAAAGUCAAUUCAAGACCAGCCUGAGUUAUAUAUAUAGCAAGAAGAAAAACCCAAGGGUAACAAACCAGUAACCAGAACCCCAAAUAUGCUCAUGAGUAAUUUGUGGCUCUGGCAGCAGCUGACAUGACAUGAAAGGCAGGGCACAGGGGAGCGACAUGCAUGGUGGCCUUGGAAAGUCGACACCAGGACACUCGAAAACACUGCACAGGGCUCAGCAAUAUGCACAGCUUCUGUGAUUUUAUGCAUCAGCUCAAAGUAAUUUAAAAAACCCCUUUGAAUAAAGAUUCUGGACGAUGAAAGGAUUGUUGUGAGGAAAUGGCUAUUUUCCCCUCUUCUACUUCCAUAUUG